This 486-nucleotide ribosomal RNA is filed under the name uncultured bacterium. RNAcentral describes it as "bacterial SSU rRNA". It matches the Rfam family "Bacterial small subunit ribosomal RNA", at positions 30 to 507 of the family's 1533-position model. The record is from RNAcentral.
AUUGAACGCUGGCGGAAUGCUUUACACAUGCAAGUCAAACGGCAGCACGGGGGCAACCCUGGUGGCGAGUGGCGAACGGGUGAGUAAUGUAUCGAAACGUACCCCGUCGUGGGGGAUAACUCUCCAAAAGGAGAGCUAAUACCGCAUACAACCUGAGGGUGAAAGCGGGGGACCUGCAAGGGCCUCGCGCGAUGGGAGCGGCCAAUAUCGGAUUACCUAGUUGGUGAGGUAAAGGCUCACCAAGGCGACAAUCCGUAGCGGGUCUGAAAGGACAACCCGCCACACUGGAACUGAAACACGGUCCAAACUCCUACGGGAGGCAGCAGUGGGGAAUUUUGGACAAUGGGGGAAACCCUGAUCCAGCCAUUCCGCGUGAGUGAAGAAGGCCUUCGGGUUGUAAAGCUCUUUCAGCAGGAACGAAACGGUAGGCUUUAAUACAGUUUGCUAAUGACGGUACCUGCAGAAGAAGCACCGGCUAACUACGUG